RNAcentral lists this ribosomal RNA (253 nucleotides) under uncultured bacterium. RNAcentral describes it as "partial 16S ribosomal RNA". It matches the Rfam family "Bacterial small subunit ribosomal RNA", at positions 524 to 776 of the family's 1533-position model. The record is from RNAcentral.
UACGUAGGGUGCAAGCGUUAAUCGGAAUUACUGGGCGUAAAGGGCGCGUAGGCGGCCGCCUAAGUCAGACGUGAAAUCCCUCGGCUCAACCGGGGAACUGCGUCUGAUACUGGGUGGCUUGAAUCCGGGAGAGGGAUGCGGAAUUCCAGGUGUAGCGGUGAAAUGCGUAGAUAUCUGGAGGAACACCGGUGGCGAAGGCGGCAUCCUGGACCGGUAUUGACGCUGAGGCGCGAAAGCCAGGGGAGCAAACGGG